Molecule: long non-coding RNA, 202 nt
Filed under: Elaeis guineensis (African oil palm)
Lineage: Eukaryota; Viridiplantae; Streptophyta; Magnoliopsida; Arecales; Arecaceae
Description: long non-coding RNA (EGUI_LNC082243)
Source: RNAcentral
UGAUAUUUUUGACUGAAUUUAAUUAAUGAUAGAUCAUAUAAACUGAUAUAAGGUUGUCCUACUGUAAGGUUUAUCCCUUACAGUGAAAAAGUUGUCUUAGUUUGUGCUGAUUUUUGAUAAAAUUUAUUUUUUUAUAUUAUAUGUGAUAUUUAUGAUCUGAUUUAGAUGUGAUUUAAGAUUAUGAUCGGAUCUAAUAUAAUUU